GUGUUGGGUGUGUAUAACACCAUAAAUACCCCAGUCAGCUGUAAAUAGCCUUUUAUGCAAGUGCCAUUACUGGAAUUCAUGUGUGUGUGGGAACUAAAAGAUGAAGGUAUUACUGUACGUGUGUUUUAUUUUGUUUGUUACCGAUGAAGCAACUGGACAGACAACUCACCCUGCCUGUGGUAAUGUUAAUGACUUUGACCGAUGUUUGGAUAAUGCGGGGAUCUGUGAUGAGACAAUUAGCAGAUGUACCUGUUUCGAGGGACAACCAUUCUGUCGGUGCAACAGUCAAAAGGGUGAGUUUUACAUUGAUGAAAACUGCACUCAGAGAUGGACAGUAGUGACCUUUGCCCUGGUGGCAUCUCUUCCUGGUCUUACACUCGCUGUGCUGGUGGGGUUGAUUGUUUAUGUGAUAAUGUUACCAUCAAACAAGAGCCACACAGGGUGAGAAUGACAAA
Molecule: long non-coding RNA, 455 nt
Organism: Sinocyclocheilus grahami
Lineage: Eukaryota; Metazoa; Chordata; Actinopteri; Cypriniformes; Cyprinidae
Exons: 3
Source: RefSeq, a predicted model, not a curated record